UACGAAGGGGGCUAGCGUUGUUCGGAAUUACUGGGCGUAAAGCGCGCGCAGGCGGUUCUGAAAGUCAGCUGUGAAAGCCCCGGGCUUAACCUGGGAAUUGCGGUUGAAACUACAGGGCUAGAAUCUGGAAGAGGGUCGUGGAAUUCCCAGUGUAGAGGUGAAAUUCGUAGAUAUUGGGAAGAACACCGGUGGCGAAGGCGGCGACCUGGUCCGAUACUGACGCUGAGGCGCGAAAGCGUGGGGAGCAAACAGG
Molecule: ribosomal RNA, 253 nt
Filed under: uncultured bacterium
Lineage: Bacteria
Description: partial 16S ribosomal RNA
Rfam family: Bacterial small subunit ribosomal RNA
Source: RNAcentral